GACGAACGCUGGCGGCGUGCUUAACACAUGCAAGUCGAGCGGUAAGGCCCUUUCGGGGGUACACGAGCGGCGAACGGGUGAGUAACACGUGGGUGACCUGCCCUUAGCUCUGGGAUAAGCCUGGGAAACUGGGUCUAAUACCGGAUAUGACUCCAUGACGCAUGUUGUGGGGUGGAAAGCCUUGUGCGGCUAGGGAUGGGCCCGCGGCCUAUCAGCUUGUUGGUGGGGUGAUGGCCACCAAGGCGACGACGGUAGCCGGCCUGAGAGGGCGACCGGCCACACUGGGACUGAGACACGGCCCAGACUCCUACGGGAGGGCAGCAGUGGGGAAUCUUGCGCAAUGGGCGAAAGACCUGACGCAGCGACGCCGCGUGAGGGAUGACGGCCU
This 388-nucleotide ribosomal RNA is filed under the name uncultured bacterium. RNAcentral describes it as "bacterial SSU rRNA". It matches the Rfam family "Bacterial small subunit ribosomal RNA", at positions 28 to 417 of the family's 1533-position model. The record is from RNAcentral.